UGCCAGCAGCCGCGGUAAUACGUAGGUGGCAAGCGUUGUCCGGAAUUAUUGGGCGUAAAGCGCGCGCAGGCGGYCUAUCCAGUCUGUCUUAARAGUUCGGGGCUCAACCCCGUGAUGGGAUGGAAACUAGUAGGCUAGAGUAUCGGAGAGGAAAGCGGAAUUCCUAGUGUAGCGGUGAAAUGCGUAGAUWUUAGGAAGAACACCAGUGGCGAAGGCGGCUUUCUGGACGAAAACURACGCUGAGGCGCGAAAGCCAGGGGAGCNGAACGGGAUUAGAUACCCUGGUAGUCCAAGGGCGAAAUUCGUUUAAACCCUGCCAGGACCUA
This 326-nucleotide ribosomal RNA is filed under the name uncultured bacterium. Its description in RNAcentral is "bacterial SSU rRNA". It matches the Rfam family "Bacterial small subunit ribosomal RNA", at positions 506 to 829 of the family's 1533-position model. The record is from RNAcentral.